AGGUGACGUCAGCGGGCGGGCCUGGCCGAUGCGCCCCCGCGGCCGGGGUGGAAGACGACCAGGGGAAAAUACAGUCACUUUCCACUGGGAGCGAGGCAAGAGAAUGAUGAGAGGUGGGCUACCAGCAUGUAAGAGCCAGUGGCACGGACAGGGCUCAGCAGCCGCGAGAAAGGAGGCGCGCGUGGGAGGAUCGGUCUAACUUCGUCACGGACGCUACCAACUAGCGCUCGGAGGAGGGGGGACGCGUGUCAUCACUACCUUGCGCGCGGGGGAGAAGCUACCACUCACCUGGUGGGGGCAGUGGAGCGGAGGGCGGGUCUUACCACCCGGGGGAGAAAGGGACGCGCAGAAUCUACUUUACCAACCCUCCGGCUGGAUCUUGGAGGAAAGCCGCGACCACGCGUCCCGGGAAGGAAGCCAAAUGACUGGGCUACACUAGGACAGGGUCAGAGGUCUUGAGGGGCGGAUGGCGGUUUGGAGAGCCCUAGGCACUGCCCUGCUGGCACCCAGAUUCCUUGUGGGAACGGUGAUAAGGAGCAGAUUUACAGAUCAUAAGUGCAAGUGCGGCCGAGGAGGGAAAUCCAGGUGGGACAAGGAUGUUUGGAGGGAGGUCACAGGGCACGAAGUUGUGCCUGCAGCUGUUACCAUAGAAACCGGGGACCGGAUGUGGCGAUCUUAGGGUGCGACAGCCCCUCUGUCAGGCUUUCUGCCCCGAGAGCCCGCCGACUCUAUGACACACUGUGAGGAGCCGGUUGUGUUUUUUUCCCAGCCGGGGGGAAGCGAGCGACUUUUUCAAGCGUUCAUAGAAAUGCGAUAAAGGAAUGGUUUGGGAUUGCUGCCACGCCUGGCUAAGGCCGAGGGAGCCUGCUGAUGUGAGACGAGCCGCACAAAGGGUCCCCAGAGCCUUCCGGAAGUGAAAUGGCGGGAGCCCCAGCCUUCACUGUCCACUGCCCCCCCGGAAGCGGAAACAGAAUUCCAGCGUGCCCCUUCCUCACUGCUCUCCAAAUCCCGCUGCAGCCAUUGCCGCAACCACGAUGCCGAAACGAAAGAAGCAGACUCAGCAGCAGCAGCCUCCGCAUCAGCAGCCCCCACUGACAGAGCGGGAAGAGACUGGAGAUGAGGAGGAUGGGAGUCCCAUCGGACCACCCAGCCUUCUGGGUCCUCCCCCCAUGGCCAAUGGAAAGCCUGGUGAUCCCAAGUCAGCCCCACACUGGAAUCCACCCACAUGUCCACCAUCAGUAGAAUGGAUAAAUAAGGUGUUGUGUGUGCAUCCAAUGGGAUACUACACUGCAGUGAAAAUGAAGGCACUCCUGCUACAGGCAUCCUGGAUGAAUCUCAUAAACACGAUGUUGAGCAAAAGGACCAGACACAAAAGAAUGCAGACUCUCUUCACAGAGGUCCUCCGGGAUCAAGGGGACCAAUGAUCCCACCACUGCUGAGUCUCCCACCUCCUCCCCGGGGCAGAGGUCCACUUCGGGGAGGCCUAGGCCCCAGGUCUGGCCCAUAUGGUCGUGGUUGGUGGGGGGUCAAUGCUGAGCCUCCUUUUCCUGGACCAGGCCAUGGGGGUCCCUCCAGGGGAGGCUUUCACAAAGAGCAGAGAAAUCCUCGAAGGCUCAAAAGCUGGUCUCUUAUCAAGAAUACCUGCCCACCCAAGGAUGGACCCCAGGUUAUGGAAGACAAAUCCGACCGCCCCGUCUGCCGACACUUUGCCAAAAAAGGCCACUGUCGAUAUGAGGACCUCUGUGCCUUCUACCACCCUGGCGCCAAUGGACCUCCUCUGUGAGACUGUGCCUUCCCAUCCAGGCUGGAAGGAGCCCGCUGGCCUAGUGGCCGUGUACUUCCCUGUGGCCCUGUGGUGGCUACUGUGAGGCUGUUCCACCCAGCACCUCGGUCCAUGACGCCCACCCUCAUCGCCACCUCCGCCACUUGGGGUCGAGUCGUGUUCAUCACUGGUGCGCAGUUGCACUCUUUCUUCUGGUCCAGCCUCCAGAGACUCAUCUCCAGGACCCCAACUUUGCUCCAUAGAGCUGCCUCCUGGAUCCUCUUCCCCCUCCAACUGACUGCAGAACAGGAAACCUCUCUGGUGCUGUUUCUCGUGCAUCUGUCCACCCAGUUCCCGGUAUCGCCCUGGUUCCUGAGAGCCUUGGAGCAGUUUCCUACCAUUCCCUUCUUCUAGCUGCUUGUUUUCAGUCCUUUUUAUGUGACACCCCCUCCCCCCCGGUGUCGUCAGCUGCUCUGUGACAUUCACCGGGUCCUCUGACCUGGGGUCAAGUUUGGCUGACUGGUACAGAGUUACUCCCUGAGAGGCCACCUGCCCUGCUCUUGGAUUUCAUAGUUUCUCCGUCAGUAGCAUGAUCCCCACCGCAACGGUCUGUGAUCACUGUGCUUUGUGAAACUGUGCAUCCCCUCGUAACCUUUCUCAGUGUCCGUGGCAUUUCUGUGACCUCCCAACACUAGAGUAAGUUCUUCUGCCAAAAUGAGUGGGACCGUUGAUGCCCUCCAGACCUUCCCCACCUCCUAACACGGGACAAUUGUGACACCUUCCACAAGACUGCCUUGCCGCUCCUCCCCAGGUCCUGGUGUCAGUUUCUCUGGGUUGGACACAGGCCUGAGAGAUGUCCUGUAGAGCCCCAGAGGGGCCCACCCUGUCUCCUCUCCAGCCCGUUUUAGUUAGACGACAUCAUUGUGAGGCCACCAGCCCUUUCGUUUGAAUCCUGUGAAUCUCCACCUGGCCUGCCUAUGGGUAGGAUAUUGGACAGUACUGUCGCCGCCUCCGAGCCUUCUUUCCCUGCAUCCCUGGCACUGAUUGUUUUCUGUGAAAACAGCAGUGAACAGGUUCAGUUUUGAACUGGCCCUGAGGAAAUGGGUCAGGAGUUGUGUGGGCAAGAGGGAAGGAUGAGAGCCGUUGGAAAAUUGAGAUUGAAUUUUUUUUUCUUUUUAGCAUUUUUUUAUAUUAGUAAUAAACACACUGGAAACAAGCA
This is a non-coding RNA of Sus scrofa (pig), 2981 nucleotides long. Lineage: Eukaryota; Metazoa; Chordata; Mammalia; Artiodactyla; Suidae. The record is from RefSeq and is a predicted model, not a curated record.